RNAcentral lists this ribosomal RNA (253 nucleotides) under uncultured bacterium. RNAcentral describes it as "partial 16S ribosomal RNA". It matches the Rfam family "Bacterial small subunit ribosomal RNA", at positions 524 to 776 of the family's 1533-position model. The record is from RNAcentral.
UACGGGGGGGGUAAGCGUUGUUCGGAAUUACUGGGCGUAAAGGGUGCGCAGGCGGUCCUGCAAGUCAGGCGUGAAAUCCCCGGGCUUAACCUGGGAAUGGCACUUGAAACUACGGGACUGGAGUAUGGCAGAGGGAGGUGGAAUUCCACGUGUAGCGGUGAAAUGCGUAGAGAUGUGGAGGAACACCGAUGGCGAAGGCAGCCUCCUGGGCCAAUACUGACGCUCAUGCACGAAAGCGUGGGGAGCAAACAGG